Molecule: microRNA precursor, 108 nt
Filed under: Paramuricea clavata
Lineage: Eukaryota; Metazoa; Cnidaria; Anthozoa; Malacalcyonacea; Plexauridae
Source: RNAcentral
AAAACAUAUAAUAGUUUUGUUUGUGGAAACACCACGUAAAUUUUUACUGAGUAAUAAAUUUACGUGGUGUUUCCACAGACAAAACUAUUAUAAAGUUAGUUUUGUUUC